This 381-nucleotide unclassified non-coding RNA is filed under the name fungal sp. RNAcentral's name for it is "partial internal transcribed spacer region". The stretch from base 1 to 46 matches the Rfam family "Eukaryotic small subunit ribosomal RNA", at positions 1786 to 1831 of the family's 1831-position model. Lineage: Eukaryota; Fungi. The record is from RNAcentral.
AAGUCGUAACAAGGUUUCCGUAGGUGAACCUGCGGAAGGAUCAUUAACCUGUGAACUUUAAGUCCCCUCUUGCAGCCCAUGAGGAACAGCAAUCCCGGUAAAUCAUUGCCAAACAGUUUUGAUUCGGGACCUCUGUCCAAAAGGAGUUGCAAUCGAAGGGUGGAAGCAGUGGCAUGGCUUCCCCAAGCAGUUAGUGAAUGACAGUGUCACUGACUGUGUAAGGAUAACGCCUCACGGUUGCUAGAGGUCGAUCACCGACCGGCAGACAUGUCACAGGGUCACCACGCCCCUUAAUCACUCCACUUGAAAAUGCCCCGCCUAGUGGUAACGCGCUAGGUAAAAAAAACCGAACAACUGUUAACAAUGGAUAUCUUGGUUCUC